GAACGGCAGCACAGCAGAGCUUGCUCUGUGGGUGGCGAGUGGCGGACGGGUGAGGAAUACAUGGGAAUCUGCCCAGUCGUGGGGGAUAACGUAUGGAAACGUACGCUAAUACCGCAUGCGCCCUUUGGGGGAAAGCCGGGGACCUUCGGGCCUGGCGCGAUUGGAUGAGCCCAUGUUCGAUUAGCUAGUUGGCGGGGUAAAGGCCCACCAAGGCGACGAUCGAUAGCUGGUCUGAGAGGAUGAUCAGCCACACUGGGACUGAGACACGGCCCAGACUCCUACGGGAGGCAGCAGUAGGGAAUAUUGGACAAUGGGCGCAAGCCUGAUCCAGCCAUGCCGCGUGAGUGAAGAAGGCCCUCGGGUUGUAAAGCUCUUUUGUUGGGGAAGAAAAGCAGUCGGUUAAUACCUGAUUGUUCUGACGGUACCCAAAGAAUAAGCACCGGCUAACUUCGUGCCAGCAGCCGCGGUAAUACGAAGGGUGCAAGCGUUACUCGGAAUUACUGGGCGUAAAGCGUGCGUAGGUGGUUUGUUAAGUCUGAUGUGAAAGCCCUGGGCUCAACCUGGGAAUGGCACUGGAUACUGGCAAGCUAG
This 591-nucleotide ribosomal RNA is filed under the name uncultured bacterium. RNAcentral's name for it is "bacterial SSU rRNA". It matches the Rfam family "Bacterial small subunit ribosomal RNA", at positions 64 to 644 of the family's 1533-position model. The record is from RNAcentral.